Molecule: ribosomal RNA, 380 nt
Filed under: uncultured cyanobacterium
Lineage: Bacteria; Bacillati; Cyanobacteriota
Description: bacterial SSU rRNA
Rfam family: Bacterial small subunit ribosomal RNA
Source: RNAcentral
CGAAAGCCUGACGGAGCAACGCCGCGUGUGGGAAGAAGGCCUUUGGGCUGUCAACCACUUUUCUCAGGGAAGAAGUUCUGACGGUACCUGAGGAAUCAGCCUCGGCUAACUCCGUGCCAGCAGCCGCGGUAAUACGGAGGAGGCAAGCGUUAUUCGGAAUUAUUGGGCGUAAAGCGUCCGCAGGUGGUUUUUCAAGUCUGCGGUCAAAGCCAGGAGCUCAACUCCUGUCCGGCCGUGGAAACUGAGAGACUAGAGGAUGGUAGGGGUAGAGGGAAUUCCCAGUGUAGCGGUGAAAUGCGUAGAGAUUGGGAAGAACACCGGUGGCGAAAGCGCUCUACUGGACCAUCACUGACACUCAGAGGACGAAAGCUAGGGGAGCG